GACGAACGCUGGCGGCGUGCUUAACACAUGCAAGUCGAACGGAAGGACCCUGCUUUUGUGGGGUGCUCGAGUGGCGAACGGGUGAGUAACACGUGAGUAACCUGCCCUUGACUUUGGGAUAACUUCAGGAAACUGGGGCUAAUACCGGAUAGGAGCUCCUGCUGCAUGGUGGGGGUUGGAAAGUUUCGGCGGUUGGGUAUGGACUCGCGGCUUAUCAGCUUGUUGGUGGGGUAGUGGCUUACCAAGGCUUUGACGGGUAGCCGGCCUGAGAGGGUGACCGGCCACAUUGGGACUGAGAUACGGCCCAGACUCCUACGGGAGGCAGCAGUGGGGAAUAUUGCACAAUGGGCGGAAGCCUGAUGCAGCAACGCCGCGUGCGGGAUGACGGCCUUCGGGUUGUAAACCGCUUUCGCCUGUGACGAAGCGUGAGUGACGGUAAUGGGUAAAGAAGCACCGGCUAACUACGUG
Molecule: ribosomal RNA, 468 nt
Filed under: uncultured bacterium
Lineage: Bacteria
Description: partial 16S ribosomal RNA
Rfam family: Bacterial small subunit ribosomal RNA
Source: RNAcentral